Molecule: ribosomal RNA, 840 nt
Filed under: Klebsiella pneumoniae
Lineage: Bacteria; Pseudomonadati; Pseudomonadota; Gammaproteobacteria; Enterobacterales; Enterobacteriaceae
Description: bacterial SSU rRNA
Rfam family: Bacterial small subunit ribosomal RNA
Source: RNAcentral
UGGAGGAAUACCGGUGGCGAAGGCGGCCCCCUGGACAAAGACUGACGCUCAGGUGCGAAAGCGUGGGGAGCAAACAGGAUUAGAUACCCUGGUAGUCCACGCCGUAAACGAUGUCGAUUUGGAGGUUGUGCCCUUGAGGCGUGGCUUCCGGAGCUAACGCGUUAAAUCGACCGCCUGGGGAGUACGGCCGCAAGGUUAAAACUCAAAUGAAUUGACGGGGGCCCGCACAAGCGGUGGAGCAUGUGGUUUAAUUCGAUGCAACGCGAAGAACCUUACCUGGUCUUGACAUCCACAGAACUUUCCAGAGAUGGAUUGGUGCCUUCGGGAACUGUGAGACAGGUGCUGCAUGGCUGUCGUCAGCUCGUGUUGUGAAAUGUUGGGUUAAGUCCCGCAACGAGCGCAACCCUUAUCCUUUGUUGCCAGCGGUUAGGCCGGGAACUCAAAGGAGACUGCCAGUGAUAAACUGGAGGAAGGUGGGGAUGACGUCAAGUCAUCAUGGCCCUUACGACCAGGGCUACACACGUGCUACAAUGGCAUAUACAAAGAGAAGCGACCUCGCGAGAGCAAGCGGACCUCAUAAAGUAUGUCGUAGUCCGGAUUGGAGUCUGCAACUCGACUCCAUGAAGUCGGAAUCGCUAGUAAUCGUAGAUCAGAAUGCUACGGUGAAUACGUUCCCGGGCCUUGUACACACCGCCCGUCACACCAUGGGAGUGGGUUGCAAAAGAAGUAGGUAGCUUAACCUUCGGGAGGGCGCUUACCACUUUGUGAUUCAUGACUGGGGUGAAGUCGUAACAAGGUAACCGUAGGGGAACCUGCGGUUGGAUCACCUCCUUUCUAUGC